AACGAACGCUGGCGGCAUGCCUAAUACAUGCAAGUCGAACGAAAACUUCGGGUCUAUUGGCGCACGGGUGCGUAACGCGUGGGAAGCUUCCCUUGUGUUCGGCAUAACUACUGGAAUGGGAUGCUAAUACCGGAUGAUGGCUUAUGCCCAAAGAUAUAUCGCCCAAGGAUGUGCCCGCGUGGGAUUAGCUAGUUGGUAGGGUAACAGCCCACCAAGGCGACGAUCCUUAGCUGGUCUGUGAGGAUGAUCAGCCACUCUGAGACUAAGACACGGCCGAGACUCCUACGGGAGGGAGGAGUGGGGGAUAGAGGACAGUGGGGGAAAUGAUGAUGGAGCUAUGACGGGUGAGUGCUGUAAGCAUUAGGGUUGUAAAGCUCUUUUAACCGGGAUGAUAAUGACGGUACCGGGAGAAUAAGCCCCGGCUAACUACGUG
Molecule: ribosomal RNA, 433 nt
Filed under: uncultured bacterium
Lineage: Bacteria
Description: partial 16S ribosomal RNA
Rfam family: Bacterial small subunit ribosomal RNA
Source: RNAcentral